Panicum virgatum (switchgrass) is the source of this 2416-nucleotide long non-coding RNA. RefSeq lists it as uncharacterized. The transcript has 2 exons. The record is from RefSeq and is a predicted model, not a curated record. Lineage: Eukaryota; Viridiplantae; Streptophyta; Magnoliopsida; Poales; Poaceae.
GAAAAAUGCUAAACUCGAGAUCAGCAUGCUAUUGUUUUCAUGAGCUUUUUGUUUAUUUAUUUUAUUCUAAUGUGGUCUAGCAUAAAGUCAAGUGGUGUUCGUUGAGACGUUGAUUGUCCUGAUAAGUUGUAGCUAUCCUGUGCAUUUUAUUCUUUGUGACCUACAAGCUGAUAAGAGCAUUUAAGCCUGUCAUCCAUCAAGAUAAGUUUCUGAUCCCUUAUAAUAACAGUCAUAACAUGCUCGUAAUAAGAAAUCAUUAAUUGUAGCAAUCUGUCCUUAAACAUUGCUGAUGCCUAGUAGUUUAAAAGCUAAUGUUAGCUGUUCAUGCUGUCUUGUUUUCAACAUACAAGUGAACUUGUGAGGCUAGCCCUGCUGCUCCCGUAUCCAUCUGCCUUUAUGCAACAAUCAAGUAAAAUCACGAUCUGCUUGUUUUAGCUCUAUGUUUUACUAGCACUAGUAAAAUCACUAUAUGUGCCUUGGUACAAUUUGUUGCUCUGUGCAGUCACUUGGUACUGAAUUUCUAACUUCUAAGUAACAGAGCUAUAUUUAUUCAGAGGCUAAAAUUGUUCAUUUUCCUAAGUUAAAAAAGAAGUAUUAUGCUUUACGAGGUGGUCAUUUCUAACUUAUAUGCGCAACUGAUUGUUGGCGGUCGUUUUCAGUGAUUUCUACCGCCAACAUUCCUUCGGAUUUUAGGCUCUCAGGACUAUAAUGCAUCGAAUUUUACUAACAUUAACGAGUUCCAUGAGUUUUGGUGCACUUCUGAUUUCAGGAACAUAAUAUACGAAUUUGAGCCGAAAUGGGAGGAAUCCCAGGCCGGCCUACCCCUGCACCAUUCUCGCAGUGUGACUCCUCGGAGAUGGCCCUGAGCAAGAUAUCAAGCCAAGAUCAAGUGUUUGACACGAUUGCAAUUAAACAAGAUCGAAAGGCACAAACCAAAUAUAUUUGGGUCCACAACUCAGUGACAAACUACUUGACCAAGACCCAACUGACUUGAGGAACAUCACAAGACCCUGAACCAACGUGACACGAUAACGGAGGGCCGAGAUGUGCUAGAGCCAGGCCGACCGGCCUAGGUGAGGCCGGCCGGCCUAAGAAGCACGUGGAAAAUGCCGCGGCAAUUGACCACCGACCCCAGGAAACAAUCCAAGCCACCCAGAGAAGGUCGGCGCCAGAUGGCGCAAUCCCUAGGCCGACCGGCCUAGGGGAGGCCGACCGGCCCUACCUGGUAGCAUCUGGAGUCCCCCCAUGGCGUGGAAGCUAAGCAUAACCGCCUUACCGGCUUACAACCGACGCCACCUGCUGAACCGACCUCAGAGCACUAUAAAUUGAGCUCACUCUCCCACUUGUAACACACACCUUCAUUUGAGAGAAGAGUUCACUCUUGAAGUUCUCUUUGUGUUAAAAUAGGGAGAGAGUGAGGUGAGAAGCUUUGGCGCAAACCAGGCUUAAAGGAGUGGGCUCGAGUUUUCUUGGGUCUUACUCUAUAUUUUGUAUCCACCUCAGAGGAAUAUAUCUUUGAGUAAGUUCCUCGUCUCAACUUCAGUCUCUCGCUAGCUUUACUUUCAGCAUUAGUUACUUGUUUAAUUAAUUUUUUUGAUCUGCGGGAUCCUGAGUCUGCGUAAGUAGCAAGUUCUACUUAUCUGAGGUUGCUUUCUAUCUAAGUACACGGUGGGAGCAAGUAGCUCGAUAGUCCUGGGCGUGGUGCCCAGACUUGGCUAGCUAUCUUAGGUUGUGUUCCACCCCAUGGUACCAUUGUGGUAGGCGGUAGGUGGUGACAGCCCUGUCCGUCCCUCGUAGUCCACCACGUUCGGGUGUUUUCAUAGCAGUAAUGCCAACUGCCGUUGGACUCCCUUCUCACCCAGUCUGAGUUCUUCCCUGAGGCCGCCGAAGUAGAUCGAGUUAGUAGUUAGCUUGUCGCUAGGUAGAAUAAGUAAGUUAUCUGGAUUUAGGCCCUUUACCCUCAUACAUUUUCUCUUUUGCUGUGUCCAGUUGAGUAGUUCUAGAUUCGGUCGAAGUUUUACCGUUCCUUGGAUUCGAUAUCCCAGGUAUAGUCCCUGGUGAAGUCUACAUCGGUCUCUGUACGCUUGCGGAGUAAUUCGUUUAGGCUAAGUAGUGCCAACACUGAUAAAGCUCCUGAAGAAUCCCUCAAGAAGAACAUUGAAGUGGACAGGCUGAUUGAUAUGCUUAUUGACGAUAAGAUUCAUUGGAUGCAUGUGGACAUGUCAAAAGGAGGACCAUUGCAUGUGUCAGGACAAUGAUAUAAUUUGUGUACUUGUUCGGAUCAUAAGAUGAACUCAUGUAUUGAUACAGUAGGCUUGAGUAUUGGAUGAUUGGUAAUGUAUAUUCUUUAAAAAUAAGCUUUGUAUAUUGUUUUGGGUUGCAAUGGUAAUUUUGGAAAUGGUCUGAAAUAGUCUAA